Molecule: long non-coding RNA, 708 nt
Organism: Schistocerca nitens (vagrant locust)
Lineage: Eukaryota; Metazoa; Arthropoda; Insecta; Orthoptera; Acrididae
Exons: 4
Source: RefSeq, a predicted model, not a curated record
CAGCAGCAGACGACUGUAGAGUGUAGUAGUUCGUGUCAUGCGUUCGUACGGUUUUGUGUUGUAUUUUUUGUGUAAUAUGUAAGGGAUUUGAUGGUGGAGACAGGAAAUCACGGAAACACACAUACUGAGUGCGUGGCUUAGGAGGGCAAUCAUGGACUGCAAGGGAACUAGUUGGGUGAAAAAAGAGAAGAAUGAAAUAUAUGCUGAAUCAGAAUCCUUGGUCCUCACUGUAUUCCACAACAUUCCCCAUGCUGGGUGUAUUGGCUGUUACAUCAUGUUUGAUCACCUUACCAGUUUCUUGAAGGUCCGCUAAAGAUUGUAACGCCUAGUCUUCAUAUAAAGCAAGACCUAGAACUGAAACAGGAAGAUGGCAUUGAGCGUGAUGUAAGUUUUCACAUCGGUGAUGUAUUGUGCCUGAAGUACUGUAUGAAUAUCAUGAAAUGCAUUGGGUGCAGUAUAUUUCAGUGAUCAUAAAUGAUGAAACAUUAAAACCUAGGAUAUUAGCACUCCUCCACAAUGUUUAUAGAAUUUCAAUUGACUGUAGGUAUAUUGUUCGGUUGUGUGUAAUGGUAUUUGAAUGAAACUUGUAGGAAACAUAAGUUUAUUAACUGUAACCCAAGGUAAUUUUAUUUUACAUAUAAAAAAUGAAUGCCUCAAAUUCGUUCUUGGAACAAAUGUACCAAAGAUGACUUCCUUCCAGCAGCUGUC